Mesocricetus auratus (golden hamster) is the source of this 1789-nucleotide long non-coding RNA. RefSeq lists it as uncharacterized. Lineage: Eukaryota; Metazoa; Chordata; Mammalia; Rodentia; Cricetidae. The transcript has 6 exons. The record is from RefSeq and is a predicted model, not a curated record.
GUCAUCCGCUGCAGUCAUUUAUCCUCUGCACUCUGUCAAGCUGUGGGUAUCUGUGACAACAACCGUCCACUGAAAAAUAACCUUCUCUGAUGAAGGAUGAGGGCGGCACUGAUCGAAGGGUAUAAAGAGAGUUUUCCGGAUUCUCCAGGUUCUUCAAAUUAAACAGGCAAAUUCUGCAACAUCAAAGGCUUGAAUCUCUCCUAUGAAGUAGUGACAUCAAAAUAGACUACAUUGACUGUGUUUCAGACAUCUGUCAUUCCUACAUGGGUGCAACUCUCCUCCUGAUGAGGACUCAGACUCAAACUCUCUCCUAGAAGAAAACAGCACAAGGCAUCCUUUGUCAUUAGGCUUCUCGCUGUCAGUGUGAAGAUUCUUUGUGCUCUUUGAGACCAGAGAUCAUGCUCCAGAUGGGUUAGAAAGCCCAGGUACACAUGUCAGGGGCUAGACUCCAGCUUACACAGGCACACUGCUGGACCAACUGCUGGACGGCUGUCUGCCAUCACUGCAGAUCUCCCCUGCUGGCGGCUCUUAUUCCAGCUACUGACAGGGCCCUCCCAUUUGCCCUGCAUCAACUUGGGCAGGCAGGAAGGCACAACUGGGGACGGUAGAGCAAUGUGGAGCUGCUGUGACCACAGCCUGUGCCAACAACCUGGCACACAACCCAUCCUUCGCCCUUCCUCCUCACUUGGCGCUGAAAUCAGAACUGACAAGCAUCUAAAAUCUACUGAAUACCAAUCCUGUGAAGAUUUCUUAUUUGUUACUAUAAUUUUACAAUUUAAAAUUUAUUUAGCCUUGUGUGCUAAGAAAGGAAGGUAUUUCCAUCACCCAUUUACCACAAGGACUGGUGUACAUAGUUUGAUAGACACAUUUUAAGACACAUCAACGUAAUUCCAAAUGUACUGAAAGAAACUGUGCAGAAGAAAUGGAAACAAUAUACUAUAAACAGCAGUUAGCUAUUUUAUUUUAAGGAAGUAUUUCUGAGUAAGACAAAGGGAUUUUAAAGAUUUUGUAUGUAGAACACCUCCAGCAACACAACACAUGUAUACACACACACACACCUCCUCAAGUUGGUGGGAAUAUUUCCUCCAGAAGCAAAGACCAAUUUUAAAGCCCCGUCAUCAACACAGGGACCCUUAUAUGUACAAAAUAAACAUAUCCUGUUUUCUUUGUCCCUUCAAGAACUCACUCACAGUCCCCCCUUUAUCCUUUGUCCCACACUUUAUCUACAUUCCCAGGUGACAGAGCCAAUGACCUUUUUCUGCUCAGUUUUAAUGCAACAUGGUAGUGGAUUCCAAAUACCCCUGAUUAUCUUGCUGGGACUAAGCCCCAAAGUCACCAUUGUCCAGCAAUAAACCUGUGACAAGCUUGAACACCUCUCAUUGCCCUUGUAUCAGCUAGUUGGUGAAGAAUCUUGCCUCCCUCCAAGUAGUGUCUAGUCCACUAUAAAUUAUAAAGGUCAAAGUUAGAACAAUACUAUCUAUUUCUGGCCUAAGAGACAAUGAAAAUUUUAAAAAUGUCUAAAUCAUAGAUUCUUGUUCCCUACCUUUAUCCUGUCUCCUAUCCUCUUUAAUACUCCACAUAUAUUAAGGAUUCACAUUGGUCUUGUGGUCUUCCCUGAAUUAUCACGUUUUUAACUUUAGACACAUGCCCAGAUUGCUUAAUUUUUAUAGUAAAUGACUGGCAAAGCCAAAACUCUCCAAAGUUCAGCCUAAGAGUGGAACCCCAAAUUAGGGCAUGCAUGAUCUGGUGUUAUUCAAUGAUAGUAAUAAAGAUGCUUACAUAAAAUGGG